CAAGAAGUAGUUUAAAAAAUACUAGCAUUGGAAGCUAAUGAUCCAGAUCAAUCUGGUUUCUUGA
RNAcentral lists this transfer RNA (64 nucleotides) under Theodoxus fluviatilis. Its description in RNAcentral is "tRNA-Pro". It matches the Rfam family "tRNA". From Rfam's summary of the family: Transfer RNA (tRNA) molecules are approximately 80 nucleotides in length. Their secondary structure includes four short double-helical elements and three loops (D, anti-codon, and T loops). Lineage: Eukaryota; Metazoa; Mollusca; Gastropoda; Cycloneritida; Neritidae. The record is from RNAcentral.